ACGCCUAUUUGCCUGCCAAAGGCAUCAGUACUCCAUGAACGGCGAACUACGUCUGCAUUUUAAUUUACACCGAACACCCAAGGAGAAAGAUUACUGGAUGGUUUAGGUAUGAUGAUGGAUUCAAGGUUAACAUACACUGCACACAAUCAAACAUGUUUUAGAAUUUUGAAAGCAACAAUCACUAAUCUGAGUACAUGCAUAUGGAAAGAGCAUCACGAACAAGUGUUGAACCCAAGUCUUGGGUUCUGUGAGACAGCAGUACUAACUCAGGCACUGCAUUUCUGCUUGCUGUGCCAUAAUUGUUCACUUAUACAUUUUUUCAAUAUUUCACACAGUGAAUCAGCAGUGGGGACUGGACUGGCCAAACUGAUUUGGCCACUAAGCCGCACUGCAUGUCAAGUCAAGCAUCUUAGCAACUGCAACACACUAAGUCUGAUGGGCUAAAACUGAGUUGGUUUUUCCUGGGUGGGUGCUUGGGUAAAUUUGGUCAGCAACACACACAAGUGUUAACCAACUUUGGAUUGGACAUUGUCAGGCACAAAUUUAUUGGACUAUAGAAGAAUACCAAAGACUCAAAAGAAAAAAAGGGAGAACACGCAAGUGGCAUUCUAGGAAAGACAUAGCAGUGCUAGAGAAAGUCCAGAGAACAGGAACCAGGACUCUGAGCCUAAGAGGAGUGAACUAUGAGGACAGAUUGAAAGGUGAGAAAACAGUAAUAACAAUAAUAAUAACUAUUAUAAUAAUAAUAAUAAUAAUAAUAUGUUUAAUUGAUAUAGCACAAA
Molecule: long non-coding RNA, 782 nt
Organism: Polypterus senegalus (gray bichir)
Lineage: Eukaryota; Metazoa; Chordata; Cladistia; Polypteriformes; Polypteridae
Exons: 3
Source: RefSeq, a predicted model, not a curated record